AGCCCAGUGUUACGUAGACGGCCUUGUUUUUCGCCCAAUGGGCAAAAGACGUCUCGUGAGGGAAGAUGUACUCGUAUCCCUCUUAAACACAUGCACACAUCAAAAUUGCCCGAUGUGAAACUAUUAAGGGAGGUCUUCCCACGGCCUGCCCACAACACAUGCAUUGGCCCCUUGUGCUGUGAAGGAGUAGAAAAUGUUUGGUGAAAUGUUUCAUAGAAAGACUGCAAAUCUUUCAUCCCCAAACUACCGUCAAGUAUCCACAACUUUGGGAAGCUGGCAGCACGUCUACAACAUUAGAUGAUACCCAAGUUGUUUCUGGUCAUCUCUGCUAAGAAUUCACACCAAGGCCUUGGAUAGGACAUGUAUUAAGUUGAUUCUGAUGAUUGGAACCUAAUUAAGGGGC
Molecule: long non-coding RNA, 403 nt
Filed under: Elaeis guineensis (African oil palm)
Lineage: Eukaryota; Viridiplantae; Streptophyta; Magnoliopsida; Arecales; Arecaceae
Description: long non-coding RNA (EGUI_LNC012869)
Source: RNAcentral